ACUGCAGGCUGCGCUAUCGUCCUUAUUCAUUUAGGGAAGGAAAGUCCGGACAGCAAAGAGUAUCGCACCGGUUAACAGCCGGCUUUCUGCAAAAACAGAAAAGAGAAAGUGCCACAGAAAAUAACCAUCAGCCUACCGGCUGAUAAGGGUGAAAAUGUGAGGUAAGAGCUCACGUUUGUUAUUGGUAACAAUAGCAAAGGGUAAACCUUGUGAGCUGAAAUGCCAUGUAUAGGACCGCCUGAGAAC
RNAcentral lists this RNase P RNA (246 nucleotides) under Bacteroidota bacterium. Its description in RNAcentral is "partial RNase P RNA component class A". It matches the Rfam family "Bacterial RNase P class A", at positions 1 to 251 of the family's 367-position model. From Rfam's summary of the family: Ribonuclease P (RNase P) is a ubiquitous endoribonuclease, found in archaea, bacteria and eukarya as well as chloroplasts and mitochondria. Its best characterised activity is the generation of mature 5'-ends of tRNAs by cleaving the 5'-leader elements of precursor-tRNAs. Cellular RNase Ps are ribonucleoproteins. Lineage: Bacteria; Pseudomonadati; Bacteroidota. The record is from RNAcentral.